Molecule: regulatory RNA element, 92 nt
Organism: Firmicutes bacterium CAG:102
Lineage: Bacteria; Bacillati; Bacillota
Rfam family: c-di-GMP-I riboswitch aptamer
About the family: GEMM was predicted in a large-scale screen for bacterial structured RNA regulatory elements. Genes associated with GEMM are involved in a diverse array of functions, including chemotaxis regulation, signal transduction, secretion and chitin.
Source: Rfam
UACAGAAAAAGGCACAAUCGGCGAAAGCCGAUGUCGCAAAGCCAAGGGUCUAAACGGCGAGGGGAUUUGCCGCAGGACAGCCGGCUACCGAA